GGCUUCUUUUGCCAGACUUGGAGGAGUAGCUGGGAGAGCGGGAGUAGGACCUGGGAAAGAGCCUAAUCUGCAAUCCUACUGAUGUUAUAAUGCUAUGACGUUGAAUAGUGUUGUCAGCUACAUUGCUUCAUUUUCUGGAAUGGACAGUCUUGAAAUAACCAAUUAAAACUAUGAGUGGACUGAUCCCAUUUCCCCAUCUCAACCCUAUGGGACACUUGUCAAUGAAGGAAAGAACCAGGAGACCAGAGCCAUCAAAAUAUAUCAGGAUUCAAGAGUUAUUACAACCCUUCCAUUCUGGAUCAGAGAUGCCAAUUUCAUAAGGCUUGAACUCAGGACCUUGAGUUUGUGAGGCAGGUGGCGGAAACACUGAGCUACAUCCCCAACCCUUUCCUACACCUUCUCGUGGUGAAAUGUUCCUUGGAGCUGGAAAAUCGUGGCCUACUGCGAAGUCCAGCACUGAUUUUGGAGAGGAUUAAGCUACUCAAGGUCAGAGAUCGCUUCUGGGCUUAUUUGGACUCACAGCCAUCAGGAGAACCUCUUUGAUGGACCUCUUUGAUGGCGUUAGGUGACAAGAGGAUCCCAAAAGCCAAGGCAGACCCUGACCCUUCACAGAUGCUGACAGACUUGAAGGAAUGUCUGACAGCUAACCAGAGGGCUUGGAAAAUGUGUGUCAGUGGGGAUAAUAAGAUGGAGGGCUGCUCCUUCUGAAUGCACAGUAGCAACUUGGUGUCAAGUGAUGGCUGCCUGUGGGAAAUGGCCCAUGAAGACAGAACUUCCUGUACAGAGGAACUGUGACACGGGAUUUUCACACUGCAAAAUCUCCGAUUACAGAGUGUUGGCUUGGCCUGUGAACCAUGAAUUGGAGCCCUCUAGUGUCUAUCCUUCUAUCUCCCCACCUCCAGACACACAUGCACAUGUGGUAUAGUGGACACUCUCUUCCAGGUCAUAACGCCCUGCUCCCCACCCAAAGAGGUGAACCAUGCAGCAGCCGUGUUUCCAACAUUGUCCCACCCGCUGUGAAGCAGAUGGACCCCCCAGAGGCCUUUUCUUGGGAAUUUGGAAUAAAAAAAAGAUGGGGAGUUCAAGGUCUGCUUGUGACUUAACCUUCAACAGAGAGAUGGAACAGGGAGCAGCCUUGCCCCCUUCCCAUGGACCAGGAAGCAGAGGAAACUCGGAUCUGCUUGACUUCUGUUAGCUCUCCACUCCAUGGUCCCAGCCCCUUACUCAGGCCUGCCUGGUCCCUGAGAUGCUCCUGCUUUCUUCUAAUCAAGUCUCUUCAGGCCCCAGUUAGCUCUAGCUACUCUGGUCCUCCCAAAUACAGCUCUGACUUCGGUAUGAUACAAAUAAAAACAAAACAUAGAUAUAACGUAUCUGCUACAAUAAAUGACACGAAAUGCUUCCAAAUGACCUUUUGAUGCCUCAACCUCUAUCCAGCCUGGGACAGCUCUGUCUACAGAAGGG
Fukomys damarensis (Damara mole-rat) is the source of this 1461-nucleotide long non-coding RNA. RefSeq lists it as uncharacterized. NCBI's taxonomy places the organism in Eukaryota, Metazoa, Chordata, Mammalia, Rodentia, Bathyergidae. The transcript has 8 exons. The record is from RefSeq and is a predicted model, not a curated record.